This 230-nucleotide ribosomal RNA is filed under the name uncultured bacterium. RNAcentral's name for it is "partial 16S ribosomal RNA". It matches the Rfam family "Bacterial small subunit ribosomal RNA", at positions 109 to 339 of the family's 1533-position model. The record is from RNAcentral.
CGUAACGCGUAUGCAAUCUACCUUCAACUGGUGAAUAGCUCGAAGAAAUUCGAAUUAACACAUCAUAGUAUUAUUGAUUGGCAUCAAUUAAUAAUUAAAACUCCGGUGGUUGAAGAUGAGCAUGCGUGACAUUAGCUAGUUGGUGAGGUAAUGGCUCACCAAGGCUACGAUGUCUAGGGGAUCUGAGAGGAUUAACCCCCACACUGGUACUGAGACACGGACCAGACUCC